This 253-nucleotide ribosomal RNA is filed under the name uncultured bacterium. Its description in RNAcentral is "partial 16S ribosomal RNA". It matches the Rfam family "Bacterial small subunit ribosomal RNA", at positions 524 to 776 of the family's 1533-position model. The record is from RNAcentral.
UACAGAGGGGGCAAGCGUUGUUCGGAAUUACUGGGCGUAAAGGGCGCGUAGGCGGCCUGUUAAGUCGAAGGGGAAAUCCCCGGGCUCAACCCGGGAACUGCGUCCGAUACUGGCUGGCUUGAAUCCGGGAGAGGGAUGCGGAAUUCCAGGUGUAGCGGUGAAAUGCGUAGAUAUCUGGAGGAACACCGGUGGCGAAGGCGGCAUCCUGGACCGGUAUUGACGCUGAGGCGCGAAAGCCAGGGGAGCAAACGGG